AUUGAACGCUGGCGGCAUGCUUUACACAUGCAAGUCGAACGGGCUUAGGUGCUUGCACCUAAGUUAGUGGCGAACGGGUGAGUAAUGCAUCGGAACGUACCGUGUAGUGGGGGAUAACCCGGCGAAAGUCGGAUUAAUACCGCAUACGAUCUAAGGAUGAAAGCAGGGGAUCGCAAGACCUUGCGCUAUACGAGCGGCCGAUGUCGGAUUAGCUAGUUGGUAGGGUAAAGGCCUACCAAGGCAACGAUCCGUAGCGGGUCUGAGAGGAUGAUCCGCCACCCUGGGACUGAGACACGGCCCAGACUCCUACGGGAGGCAGCAGUGGGGAAUUUUGGACAAUGGGCGAAAGCCUGAUCCAGCCAUGCCGCGUGAGUGAAGAAGGCCUUCGGGUUGUAAAGCUCUUUUGUCCGGGAGCAAAUCCUGUUCACUAAUACUGAGCGGGGCUGAGAGUACCGGAAGAAUAAGCACCGGCUAACUACGUGCCAGCCGCCGCGGUAA
Molecule: ribosomal RNA, 498 nt
Filed under: uncultured bacterium
Lineage: Bacteria
Description: partial 16S ribosomal RNA
Rfam family: Bacterial small subunit ribosomal RNA
Source: RNAcentral